GAGGUUCGUUUACGCGCCGCUUCGCCGUGCAGGUGGUGGCGAAGCGCUCCUCCGAAAGGUUUCGGAAGCUGGUGGUAGCUCUGAAGAUAACGCUGCGUUAGGGCAUACUGCGGCGGAGGAUGGAACUCCGAUUGAAAGCAGUUGCUGGAGUGGAGCACGAAUUUCAACAAGCCGCAUGUUGAAGUGUGAGGCGUGAAAGGGUAUGUCUGAUAUUUGCUUUAAAAUGCUCCAGCAAAGAAAUUAAGGGAUGGAUGAAGCAAAAGAGCCAGGUAUGGUGGCUCAUGCCUCUAAUCUCAGCACUUUGGGAGGCCGAAGCAGGCAGAUCACCUGAGGUCAGGAGUUUGAGACCAUCCUGACCAACAUGGUGAAACUCGUCUCUACUACAAACAUAAAAAAAUUAGCUGGGCGUGGUACCACGCACCUGUAAUCCCAGCUACUCCUCUGGAGGCUCAGACAGGAGAACUGCUUGAACCGGGAGGCGGAGGUUGCAGUGAGCUGAGAUCGCACCAAUCCAUUCCAGCCUGGGCAACAGAGUGAGACUCCAUCUCAUAAAAAAAAAAAAAGUAAAGAAAAAAAAGAAAAUGUCUUUAUUUCAUUUUCUUUCCUAAAGAAUAUAUUUGCUGGAUAAAGGA
Long non-coding RNA from Homo sapiens (human), 632 nucleotides. RefSeq annotates it as FAM151B divergent transcript. The record is from RefSeq and is marked validated. The transcript is spliced from 3 exons. Lineage: Eukaryota; Metazoa; Chordata; Mammalia; Primates; Hominidae.